Molecule: long non-coding RNA, 1051 nt
Organism: Lactuca sativa (garden lettuce)
Lineage: Eukaryota; Viridiplantae; Streptophyta; Magnoliopsida; Asterales; Asteraceae
Source: RefSeq, a predicted model, not a curated record
UUUUUUACCUUAUAACUUUAAUUAUCAGACAUGACAACUUUUCUCUCAUAUCUCUCUCUCUCUCUCUCUCUCUCUCUCACCUCCUACUACUGCCAACGACCACCACCAUCGCCGGCACCACCGUCCUCGUCGUCGUCGGAAUACAACGAUCUUCAGAUCUGGAGCUGCCGCCUUCAGAUCUAAAACAUCCACCUUCAGAUCUGGUGCAUUCGCCUUCAGAUCUAGAACCCCUGACUUCAGAUCUGCCAUUACCACCGAGCGUCACCUCCUUCUACCGCCAUCUAUCUCAUUAACACCGACUAUCGCCUUCCAUCAGCCGCUUUGCUUUGCUGGAACACCUAGAAAACACUACACUCUAUUUUCAAAUUUGAAUAUGCUUCUUCUCCAAAUCUCCAACGUUUCAAAUUUGAUGAAGCACGAGAAAAACUCUUCGAUCUGCUUCGCCGGAAUAACAGAUGUGACAGAGUAUGGAGCUCUUUUUCGCCUCCAAAUGUCCUACCACCUCCAGAUCUACUUCUUUAUACAAACUACCACUGGAGACCUCCUUUAUCUUUAUUUACACCAGAUCAAUUUAGAUCUGAUGUAGAUCUGAGAAUUUGGUGUUAUUAUACAAAGGUUUUUCUUUCUAUUUCAUCAUUCCAUCGUUGGAUCUACAUCAAAUAUGUUCCCCCACCGUUGGUGUCGUUGUCGGAGCAUCAAAAAUCGCAAAUCGCAGUCCUCAUCUCAACCUACAGGUUAGAUCUGGUGUGUGUAUGGUGUUUACAUUGAUGGUGCUUACAAAAGGAAGUUCUGAAAAAAAGAUGCACACAAGGUGUUUUAUGAAAUGCCUCAAUAAAAUUUGGUGGUUGGUGGCAGUGUGUGGUGGUAGUAGUAAUAGAGUUUGAAUUUUUGAUUUCUUUGAGUUUGUGAAUUAUUAUAAAAUGGGUUGUACUAAGUUGUGAAUUUUGUGAAUUAAACUAUAAAUGGACUGUAUAAACUUGUAACUUAUAUAAGUUGUGUGUUCAAAUAUGAGAGUAUAUAAAAUGAAAAUGUUAUACUGUAAAUAUUACAA